Molecule: long non-coding RNA, 800 nt
Filed under: Capra hircus (goat)
Lineage: Eukaryota; Metazoa; Chordata; Mammalia; Artiodactyla; Bovidae
Description: lncRNA (ENSCHIG00000001496.1)
Source: RNAcentral
GAUUGGGUGCGCAGUCUGGCCGGUUGCCCGCAGCAUUCUACCUGCUGCGCUGGGAAAGGCUGAGCCUCCAUGGAGAAAAAGAGGCUCCAUUGUAUAGAACACUCUCCCAUGCGCAAGCUCCAAGAGACUUCAUGCCAGGCAGAGGACACAGGAUAUGCUGAUAAUUAAGUGUCCAGGAUGGAUGGAGCACCACAGAAAUUCACUGAAGGCUGCUAGCCAGGAGACUCAAGAAGGAAUUGUUAAAAAAGAGAACUAUCCAAACAUUGUCCUCUCCCUUUGGAGCCUAAACAGGAAAGAAAACUCUUAGGGAAUCAGCACAUGUCAAAGGAACACAUGUGAAUCAGUUCUAAUGAAGUGGAUGAACGUAGAGCCUAUUAACAGAGUGAAGUAAGUAAGAAAAACAAACAUUGUAUUUUAAUGCGUAUGUAUGGAAUCUAGAAAGAUGGUACUGAUGAACCUAUUUGCAGGGCAGCAAUGGAAAAAUAGACAUCGAGAACAGAUUUGUGGACACAAUGGAGGAAGGAAAGGGUGGGCUAAAUUGAGAGAGUAAUAUGGAAACACAUUACCAUAUGUAAAAUAGGCCAUGGGAAUUUAUUGCAUGAAGCAGGGAGCUGAAACUGGUGCUCUGUGACAAUGGGAUGUCAUAGAGGGAUGGAAUGGGGUGGGAGGUGGGAGGGAGGUUCAAGUGGGAGGGGACAUAAAUAUGCCUGUGGCUAAUUCAUGUUGAUAAAUGACAGAAACCAGCAAAACACUGUAAAACGAUUAUCUUCCAAAUAAAAAUGUUUUAAAAAUAUGUAUAA